CUACGGGGUGCAGCAGUGGGGAAUAUUGGACAAUGGGCGAAAGCCUGAUCCAGCAAUGCCGCGUGAGUGAUGAAGGCCUUAGGGUUGUAAAGCUCUUUUACCCGGGAUGAUAAUGACAGUACCGGGAGAAUAAGCUCCGGCUAACUCCGUGCCAGCAGCCGCGGUAAUACGGAGGGAGCUAGCGUUGUUCGGAAUUACUGGGCGUAAAGCGCACGUAGGCGGCUUUGUAAGUUAGAGGUGAAAGCCUGGAGCUCAACUCCAGAACUGCCUUUAAGACUGCAUCGCUUGAAUCCAGGAGAGGUGAGUGGAAUUCCGAGUGUAGAGGUGAAAUUCGUAGAUAUUCGGAAGAACACCAGUGGCGAAGGCGGCUCACUGGACUGGUAUUGACGCUGAGGUGCGAAAGCGUGGGGAGCAAACAGGAUUAGAUACCCGCGUAGUC
This 439-nucleotide ribosomal RNA is filed under the name uncultured bacterium. Its description in RNAcentral is "partial 16S ribosomal RNA". It matches the Rfam family "Bacterial small subunit ribosomal RNA", at positions 339 to 795 of the family's 1533-position model. The record is from RNAcentral.